RNAcentral lists this non-coding RNA (26 nucleotides) under Rattus norvegicus (Norway rat). The record is from RNAcentral. Lineage: Eukaryota; Metazoa; Chordata; Mammalia; Rodentia; Muridae.
UAGAAACCAAAAUGGAAACGUGGAGC